CGUGAAUAGCAAGCCCAUUUGGGGAAUGUAUUUGAACAAUGACCCAAGCAGUCGCACAAGCAGAUCUGCACAUAUUAUUACCAAGGUAUCGUCUCAUCUUUUAAUCUUCUUUGCCACUCAAAUAAUCGGUUUUUUCUGGUUUUAUCUUUCAUGUGAGCAUUUAGAUUUUUGUUUUCUAGACUAGAAGCUUGAUAAGAAAACUAAAAGCAAAUAAUGAGAGAAGAUUAACCGGGCAGGAGGAGAGGGAAGAAGGGAGAAAAGGAAAGGAAAUACAUAGUAACGUUAUAUUGAUUAAAGAGUUCUAGCAACGCACCUGCUUCUAACUAUAUAUAAAGAUCUCUCUAUAUUUGAUAACAAUAUAGGUGGUAGUGGUAGUAGUAAUGGAGAUAGCGUACUAUACUAUAAGUCGACGAACGAUCAUUUGAAUUGCUAUUGAUGUAUACAUGGGCUUGGCCACUGGGAUCAUGAGAUUGAUGCUUGUUUAUUUGUUUUGUUCUUAAUUUAACUUUCGCAGGUUGCGAACCAGAUGCGCCAUUGACGGCGAUGGCAGGUUUGGAUUGGGAAGGAGAAGAUGAGAAGAUAGUUGGGGAGUAAGAAGGUGUAAAAUCGACAAUAUCGUCUUAUGUGCAUGAGGAUCCUAAUGGUAUAUGUUUGACACGAUUGGUGCUAAACAACUAAGAUAUGUGGUGGCGCGAGGUGGGGGUCGGCAAUGAGGCGGCUAUGCUGCAUGAGGC
This 734-nucleotide long non-coding RNA is filed under the name Triticum aestivum (bread wheat). Its description in RNAcentral is "long non-coding RNA (TAES_LNC028066)". The record is from RNAcentral. Lineage: Eukaryota; Viridiplantae; Streptophyta; Magnoliopsida; Poales; Poaceae.